UAGGCAUAGGCUUUCCUUAAUUUCCAUGGAGUAGAUUUGUCAAACUCUUAUGCCUCAUCACUGAUUUGGUGCAGCAGUAAAUUGGUCUUAAAGCUAUGCGUCACCAUAAAUUGUAAAUGGCUGGUAGUCAAGGGAAAGAAAACGGUUUUUUUAGACACUUGUUGAGCGGGAAUAGUUCUAGACCUACCCUACUCAGAGGGGACCCUCAUGAGAGGGGGGUAACGGGUUCUGCUAGGAGGGCUAGGCAGGAAGAGGCUGUCAGACACAGUGAGGCCCAACGGUCGAGUACGCUGCACCAAGUGCGCACUCGGUUUGAUACUAAGCUAGCAUCUAGAGUAGUUGGGGGUUUCUAGUGAUGAUGAUGAUGAUGAUGUUGAGUACCAAGGCGUUGUUGGUCGUCUAGUGGAUUGGACUGUUUUCCAAGGGGUCGACGGUAAAUUCACACAUGCCGCCCGUAGUUCAGCAGACGCAUCUGAGCAUGCCGGACAUAGUCACGUUGAUGAUGAGCCGCCACGGGGGAGCAGGCGCUCACAGUCCGCUGGAACGUAUUGGUUGGUCACAUCGCCUUAGCCCGGGGCCCACAGAUACGCGCCUCAUACUCAGCUAUGGCGAGCAUAGAGCUAAAGUUAUUUUUGACAGCUCUGAGCGUACGCCUUCGGUUCUGGAGUGCCGUAGUAGAAAGAAGCCGUUGGAGUCGAUCAUCGGACUGCAGGAUAUGUCUGAUGCGCUUUAUGAUGUUCUACACUCCCCUCGGCCUGCUACCCUACAUUAUGCACCAGCACAUUGACUGUGCUUUAAUAUCAGCCUUCGUGGAGAGGUGGCAACCAGAUACGAACACCUUCCACAUGCCAUGGGGAGAGAUGACAAUUAUGUUGCAUGACGUGCAAUGCAUAUUGGGCAUAGGUAUUGAAGGUUCACUACCGGCUGAACCUACUGAGGGGGAGUGGAAGGGCGCUAUUGCUGGUCUAUUUGGGGAGCCCAUGUCCGAGCUACGACGGAAAGGAAUAUUCACCAGCGGUGGCAUCAACGUUGCUGAAGUUAUUGGACUAGGCCGGAGAUGUGGUCCACGCCCAAGCCAGGUCGUGAGAUCAACAGGCUGAGGGACUGCAGGAGUAUAUUGAACCCCAUGACGAAAACUCAGGUGGAAUGGACUCCGUACAUGACUUCUCCAAGAGCAUUGCUAAAUGAGCACCCACGCACCACCUACAUCGGGGUAUCACUUGCUUUGAUAUCGUCGAGGUGUAUUUGCCAGAGAGGACAGUGUGUUAAGGGCUAAAAGUUACAUUAUCUUUACUCCUCUUUACGAUUUGUAAUUAAAAAUAAAGUUGGACGAAAUGAGAAAAUUGGAGCUGAACAAGGAAAAAACGUAAUUCGCGAAGUACAUGGUAGUCCAAUUUUAAAAUGGGAAUAUCUCACUCAUACGGACUCCAACUUAGGCGUUUUUUGAGGCUUCAGACAUCUACUCAAAAAGAUCUACAACUUUUAUGUUUUGUACAAAGCCUGAUUCAGCUCACAAUUAUGCGAAAGUAUCUGUAGAAGUCAGCUGCAAUAAUUACAAGACAACUCAACUAGAUAAGUGCUAUUAAAUGUCAAGAAGCAAAUUUCUACUAAAAAUUCUCUUGCUAGAUGGUGGAAGCUUGCCCUAUUUCUAUGGUUCAUGUGUUAAAUUAUCCACCAUAAUAUUUUGCAACUUGGAUGAUUAAAGAAGAAGUUUAAUUAGAAUUGACUUGUAUAUUUUUGUAUUUUACUUAUUCCCACCUCUAUAAAUAGAGGCCUUACCAUCCAACAAAAAUAGAGGGUUAUAUUCUCAUAUAAUUAAAGUUAAGUAGAGAGAAAAGAGAUUGAAAAACAUAUUUUUAAGUCUCUUCUUUUGUAUUACAAAAUUAUUUACUUAAUGAAUUUUUCUUA
Molecule: long non-coding RNA, 1908 nt
Organism: Amaranthus tricolor (Joseph's coat)
Lineage: Eukaryota; Viridiplantae; Streptophyta; Magnoliopsida; Caryophyllales; Amaranthaceae
Exons: 4
Source: RefSeq, a predicted model, not a curated record